Molecule: ribosomal RNA, 253 nt
Filed under: uncultured bacterium
Lineage: Bacteria
Description: partial 16S ribosomal RNA
Rfam family: Bacterial small subunit ribosomal RNA
Source: RNAcentral
UACGGAGGGUGCAAGCGUUAUCCGGAUUCACUGGGUUUAAAGGGUGUGUAGGCGGGUAAGUAAGUCAGUGGUGAAAUCUCCAGGCUCAACCUGGAAACUGCCAUUGAUACUAUUUAUCUUGAAUAUCGUUGAGGUAGGCGGAAUAUGUCAUGUAGCGGUGAAAUGCUUAGAUAUGACAUAGAACACCGAUUGCGAAGGCAGCUUGCUAAACGAUUAUUGACGCUGAGGCACGAAAGCGUGGGGAUCAAACAGG